GUGCUUGCUUUGGCACCACAUAUACAAAAUUGAAAUGGUACAGAGAAGAUUAGCAUGGCCCCUGAGCAAGGAUGACACGCAAAUUUGUGAAACAUUCCUUCUUUUU
This is a small nuclear RNA of Pteronotus mesoamericanus, 106 nucleotides long. Lineage: Eukaryota; Metazoa; Chordata; Mammalia; Chiroptera; Mormoopidae. The record is from RefSeq and is a predicted model, not a curated record.